Molecule: ribosomal RNA, 244 nt
Filed under: uncultured Staphylococcus sp.
Lineage: Bacteria; Bacillati; Bacillota; Bacilli; Caryophanales; Staphylococcaceae
Description: partial 16S ribosomal RNA
Rfam family: Bacterial small subunit ribosomal RNA
Source: RNAcentral
CGGCGGACGGGUGAGUUACACGUGGAUAACCUACCUAUAAGACUGGGAUAACUUCGGGAAACCGGAGCUAAUACCGGAUAAUAUAUUGAACCGCAUGGUUCAAUAGUGAAAGACGGUUUUGCUGUCACUUAUAGAUGGAUCCGCGCCGCAUUAGCUAGUUGGUAAGGUAACGGCUUACCAAGGCAACGAUGCGUAGCCGACCUGAGAGGGUGAUCGGCCACACUGGAACUGAGACACGGUCCAG